RNAcentral lists this ribosomal RNA (818 nucleotides) under Nocardioides sp. HCA2-11_Pa. RNAcentral describes it as "bacterial SSU rRNA". It matches the Rfam family "Bacterial small subunit ribosomal RNA", at positions 57 to 891 of the family's 1533-position model. The record is from RNAcentral. Lineage: Bacteria; Bacillati; Actinomycetota; Actinomycetes; Propionibacteriales; Nocardioidaceae.
GCAGUCGAGCGGAAGGCCACUUCGGUGGUACUCGAGCGGCGAACGGGUGAGUAACACGUGAGUAAUCUGCCCCUGGCUUUGGGAUAGCCACCGGAAACGGUGAUUAAUACCGGAUAUGACACAUUCUCGCAUGAGUUUGUGUGGAAAGUUUUUCGGCCAGGGAUGUGCUCGCGGCCUAUCAGCUUGAUGGUGAGGUAAUGGCUCACCAUGGCUUCGACGGGUAGCCGGCCUGAGAGGGUGACCGGUCACACUGGGACUGAGACACGGCCCAGACUCCUACGGGAGGCAGCAGUGGGGAAUAUUGGACAAUGGGCGGAAGCCUGAUCCAGCAACGCCGCGUGAGGGAUGACGGCCUUCGGGUUGUAAACCUCUUUCAGUACCGACGAAGCGCAAGUGACGGUAGGUACAGAAGAAGCACCGGCCAACUACGUGCCAGCAGCCGCGGUAAUACGUAGGGUGCGAGCGUUGUCCGGAAUUAUUGGGCGUAAAGGGCUCGUAGGCGGUUUGUCGCGUCGGGAGUGAAAACGCCGUGCUUAACACGGCGCUUGCUUUCGAUACGGGCAGACUAGAGGUAUGCAGGGGAGAACGGAAUUCCUGGUGUAGCGGUGAAAUGCGCAGAUAUCAGGAGGAACACCGGUGGCGAAGGCGGUUCUCUGGGCAUUACCUGACGCUGAGGAGCGAAAGUGUGGGGAGCGAACAGGAUUAGAUACCCUGGUAGUCCACACCGUAAACGUUGGGCGCUAGGUGUGGGGUCCAUUCCACGGAUUCCGUGCCGCAGCUAACGCAUUAAGCGCCCCGCCUGGGGAGUACGGCCGCAG